Molecule: long non-coding RNA, 1092 nt
Filed under: Cyanistes caeruleus (blue tit)
Lineage: Eukaryota; Metazoa; Chordata; Aves; Passeriformes; Paridae
Description: lncRNA (ENSCCEG00000020920.1)
Source: RNAcentral
AUGUCUGCACCGCACAACCCCACAAACCUUCCCAGGGCUCCCGCACAUCUCAGGCUGGGGGCAGAGGGAGCAACAGGUGAUUGUCCCGAAACCCGGCCAGCCUCUUCCCUGUCACACCUCACCCAGGGCGGAAAAAUCCUCCUGGAGGGGGUGAGAAGCACGGCGCUGCUCCCAGCUGAGAGCAAAAUCCACAAACAUCCUCGGCAAGGAGGAUUCAGACAUUCCCAGUUAAUGGGGAGCCAGCCGGCCAUCCCCAGGGAAUGCCGGCGAGGCAGGAGAAUGCGGACAGGGGACACUUUGCAAACCCCAGCAGGGCAGAACCAGAGCCCAGGGCUGAGCUGGUGGGGUCCCCAUCACCCCUCUCUGCUGCUCCCCAGGGACCUGCUCCUUUUCGGGGGUCCCCUCCAGCUCUCGGCAGCUCCCCGUGCUGGGUGUCCCCGAGGUGCCUCUGUCCCCCCAGGCCACCACCAGCGAAAAACUUACCGGGGCUGGGCUCAGAGAGGGGACUGCACGGACAUCCUGGCUCCCUCCUUCCACCUCGGGUCCCCAACUUGCUGUUUGCAGAGCGGUGUCACCAGUGCCUCCCGGAGCCUGGCUCAUCCUCCUCCUCUGUGUCUCGCUUCAGAAAUCUCUGUGUGUGUGGUGGUUGGUUUGUUGGGGUUUUUUUGGUUGUUUUUUUUUUUUUUUUCAUUUAAGGGACUUUUUUUUUUUUUUUUUUUUUUUUUUUUUUCUUCCCCCAGCGGUUGCGUCAGGGCUGUUGCCUGGAGACAGGCGAGCUAUUCCAGUUUGAGCUUUUCAGCGCCGAUUCCUCUCUCUCUUUCAUUCAUACCACCAAGCCCUGGACCUACCUCCCACCAAGCAAUAACCCUGGAGAGACCUGAAAGGGAGGAGCUGCACAGCCUGGGUCCUAAACAUCCUCCGGCACCCCGGAGAGGAAGAUCAGCGAUGCUUUCGGCGUGGAGAGCAGGGAUGGAGCGCUCCAGGGCAGGGAAGGUACCCUCAAGGCUUGCCGGAGAUGCCCGGAGAGCUGCUGCUCUCCCGAAGGAGUCUGUGGUCCUUCCCGGCACCAACCUGCUGGUGUCCCCAUGCUGA